Molecule: ribosomal RNA, 403 nt
Filed under: uncultured bacterium
Lineage: Bacteria
Description: bacterial SSU rRNA
Rfam family: Bacterial small subunit ribosomal RNA
Source: RNAcentral
UGGGGAAUAUUGCACAAUGGGCGAAAGCCUGAUGCAGCAACGCCGCGUGAGUGAUGACGGUCUUCGGAUUGUAAAGCUCUGUCUUUGGGGACGAUAAUGACGGUACCCAAGGAGGAAGCCACGGCUAACUACGUGCCAGCAGCCGCGGUAAUACGUAGGUGGCAAGCGUUGCCCGGAUUUACUGGGCGUAAAGGGUGCGUAGGCGGACCUUUAAGUGAGAUGUGAAAUCCCCGAGCUUAACUUGGGGGCUGCAUUCCAAACUCGAGGUCUAGAGUGCAGGAGAGGAGAGUGGAAUUCCUAGUGUAGCGGUGAAAUGCGUAGAGAUUAGGAAGAACACCAGUGGCGAAGGCGACUCUCUGGACUGUAACUGACGCUGAGGCACGAAAGCGUGGGGAGCAAACAG